CUAAAGCUGCUUUGAAUCCUAUU
This 23-nucleotide small nuclear RNA is filed under the name Arabidopsis thaliana (thale cress). RNAcentral describes it as "snRNA_14419". Lineage: Eukaryota; Viridiplantae; Streptophyta; Magnoliopsida; Brassicales; Brassicaceae. The record is from RNAcentral.